This 468-nucleotide ribosomal RNA is filed under the name uncultured bacterium. Its description in RNAcentral is "partial 16S ribosomal RNA". It matches the Rfam family "Bacterial small subunit ribosomal RNA", at positions 28 to 507 of the family's 1533-position model. The record is from RNAcentral.
GACGAACGCUGGCGGCGGGCUUAACACAUGCAAGUCGAACGAAAAGGCCCUGGUUAUGGGGGGUGCUCGAGUGGCGAACGGGUGAGUAACACGUGAGUAACCUGCCCUUGACUUUGGGAUAACUUCAUGAAACUGGGGCUAAUACCGGAUAGGAGCUCCUGCUGCAUGGUGGGGGUUGGAAAGUUUCGGCGGUUGGGGAUGGACUCGCGGCUUAUCAGCUUGUUGGUGGGGUAGUGGCUUACCAAGGCUUUGACGGGUAGCCGGCCUGAGAGGGUGACCGGCCACAUUGGGACUGAGAUACGGCCCAGACUCCUACGGGAGGCAGCAGUGGGGAAUAUUGCACAAUGGGCGGAAGCCUGAUGCAGCAACGCCGCGUGCGGGAUGACGGCCUUCGGGUUGUAAACCGCUUUCGCCUGUGACGAAGCGUGAGUGACGGUAAUGGGUAAAGAAGCACCGGCUAACUACGUG